GCGAGAGUGGCGGAAUUGGCAGACGCGCCGGACUUAGGAUCCGGUGCCCUCGGGCGUGAGGGUUCGAGUCCCUCCUCUCGCA
Molecule: transfer RNA, 82 nt
Filed under: Actinopolymorpha pittospori
Lineage: Bacteria; Bacillati; Actinomycetota; Actinomycetes; Propionibacteriales; Actinopolymorphaceae
Also listed under: 1 other name
Description: Actinopolymorpha sp. PIP 143 tRNA
Rfam family: tRNA
About the family: Transfer RNA (tRNA) molecules are approximately 80 nucleotides in length. Their secondary structure includes four short double-helical elements and three loops (D, anti-codon, and T loops). Further hydrogen bonds mediate the characteristic L-shaped molecular structure. tRNAs have two regions of fundamental functional importance: the anti-codon, which is responsible for specific mRNA codon recognition, and the 3' end, to which the tRNAs corresponding amino acid is attached (by aminoacyl-tRNA synthetases). tRNAs cope with the degeneracy of the genetic code in two manners: having more than one tRNA (with a specific anti-codon) for a particular amino acid; and 'wobble' base-pairing, i.e. permitting non-standard base-pairing at the 3rd anti-codon position.
Source: Rfam by way of RNAcentral